UAAGAAAAAAAAGUUUUGCAACGCUGGAGUGGAAACAUAGGCAGCCAUUAAUGAUAAAGCCCGGCAGACGCCCAUUUUUAUCAGUGACGUUCUACGUUCAAGUGUGUCAUGUUGUUAUUUUUUCCCUAAAAGAAUCCAAGGGCAGGCAUUUAUCUAUGAUGUUGUGAACAAUCUUGGAUCUAUGGCAGCUCGAUUUAUUUUUCUCUCAAUUGAGGAGAGCAGCUAUUUUUCUUUUGCCCAGAUGUUAGACAGACAAAUCCCAAUUGACCAGCAGCCACGCCAGGUUCCAUUAUUGUUGCCUUUUGACAAUACAAUCAAGACAAUGUAAUCUGGCUGGAUGGAUCUAGGAAGAAACCGGAUGCAUGUUUUGUUAUGGGCUUUAUGAAAUUGAUGGGAAUGAAAGCUUACUGAAGGAUGCAGAAAUGACGUCAGGAAUAACAGCAUUCGGCCAACGGUAAUUACGACCGAUGAUUGCAUUUAAAAGCUGUUUGAUCGACUGGAUACCGGAAAUAUCGCCUUCAAACAUAUCGGUUGCGUAACGAGGUGCUACCCAAUUCGAACUCAAGAAUCAUCCACAGCUUGUGGUUUAUUAAUGGCCAAUAUCAGAAUUUGUGAGCCAAGCUGUUGUGUGGAAUGAAACCUACCAUGCUUGAAGAUGGAUAUGACGAUAGACGGAUGCGGUUAACAUGAAACAUCUACCAACACAUACUUCAUCUUCCUCCUCACUUGGGUUGAGUAUUUAAUGUUAACGCCAGAUUUUCGUCUUCCCGUGCGUGGUCAAAGACCCGACGGGUUGGCCGAAGGCCCCAACACUCCUGACAAAAUCCUUCCCUAAGUCCACCUUUUUACCUAACCCCGUGAGUUUAACCCAUAUUCGAGAGGCGAGCAUCUGGCCUAAUAUAUCAUAUAUUUCAUAGUAUAAGUUUUUGCGUGUUUAUUUUAAAUGUGAUUAUUUUUCUAAUUUUGUUAAUAUGAUUAAACAAGUACAAAGUAAAGUUAAGAGUAAAUUAAUAUUAUUAGGAAAAAGGGUAAUUUCAUUACACACCAUUUAAAAAGAAAAAUUCAAAAAUUAAUUAGAUAAUUAGAUAAAAAAAUUGUAAAUUGAAUAUUUGUCAUUGUCAAAUGAAUAACGUAAUAUAAAAAAAUUAGUCUUUAAAAUAACAUUGUCAAUUGAAACCAUAGAAUAACAUAACGCAACAUUACAUAAAAUUAAAAUAGAAAAAUUUAGUAACAUAAAAAAAUGAGUCUGUAAAAAAACAUGGUCAAAUGAAUAACGCAAUAUAAUAAAAAUUAGUCUGUAAAAAAA
This is a long non-coding RNA of Daphnia magna, 1306 nucleotides long. RefSeq lists it as uncharacterized. NCBI's taxonomy places the organism in Eukaryota, Metazoa, Arthropoda, Branchiopoda, Diplostraca, Daphniidae. The record is from RefSeq and is a predicted model, not a curated record. The transcript has 5 exons.